UACGGAGGAUGCAAGGGUUCUCGGGAAUGGUUGGGCGUAAAGCGUCCGCCGCUGCCCCUGUAAGUCUGCUGUUAAAGAGUGAGGCUUAACCUCAUAAAAGCAGUGGAAACUACAGAGCUAGAGUGCGUUCGGGGUAGCAGGAAUUCCUGGUGUAGCGGUGAAAUGCGUAGAGAUCAGGAAGACCACCGGUGGCGAAAGCGUGCUACUAGGCCGUAACUGACACUGAGGGACGAAAGCUAGGGGAGCGAAGGGG
RNAcentral lists this ribosomal RNA (253 nucleotides) under uncultured bacterium. Its description in RNAcentral is "partial 16S ribosomal RNA". It matches the Rfam family "Bacterial small subunit ribosomal RNA", at positions 524 to 776 of the family's 1533-position model. The record is from RNAcentral.